Molecule: long non-coding RNA, 2339 nt
Organism: Herpailurus yagouaroundi (jaguarundi)
Lineage: Eukaryota; Metazoa; Chordata; Mammalia; Carnivora; Felidae
Exons: 2
Source: RefSeq, a predicted model, not a curated record
CCCGCCCGGCCGGGGGAGGGGGACAGCUAGUGGCUCCCGGCUCUCCUGCGUCAGCGCGGGGGCCCGGCCUCCGAGUCCCUGCCCCGCGCUGGCGGGACCUGCUCUCUUCCCAGGCCUCCAGGCGCUCGUCGCAAUCUGAGGAGGAAGCAAUUGAGGGCACGGUGCCCGCGAGGUGGGGCGCGCGCUCCGGACAUCUUCGUCCCCCAGUGACUCCCCGAGCUUGGGGUUAGAGCAGAGGUGAGAGACUAGAGGAGACAGGGCUGAUGCCCACGCCGGGAAAGCUCUCGCUGACCCUAAGCGGCGCAGGCAUCUCGGUCCUCAUUUUGCAGGUGAGGAGCCCAAGGCUCAGAGGGGAAGUGACAAGGUCGCAGGCAAUAAGGCGAGGGUUAAUUGGAGCCCAGAUUGCAAGCCUGGUCUUAGCUGGUCCCGGAAGCCGCGCUUUCCCGCCACUCCGCACUGGCCGGUGGCGGGAAGAGACCAGGGGGGCACCAGUGGGAGGCUGAGCUGCCCCUGUGCCCUCCACCUGCCCCUGGCGAAAGCGACCCAAGCCGCCGCACCCUUCCCGCCCCGCACGUGCUCGCCCCUCCCCGUGGAAUGUCACCGGCGCGGGCCUUUCCGCCCUGCAGGGCUGCUCCCCAUCCUCCUUGCCAACGCUUCAGGCUUCUCUGACCUGUACGCAGGGCUCAGAGCAUUUGAUCGGGUCACUUGCCCCCUCACCUCCUUCCGAAGUUCCGUCCCCCAGCCACCUGACAGGCCCAAGGGCAGCUCCCCGCCUCCUGACCGCUGCAGCCCCGACCUGCCUGCCGGCCCUUCUCUGACCUCUUUCACAGAAUGUCCCUCACCUCCUUUACAGAGCCUGCGGUGUGGACACUUUACAAAGCGCUUUUAAUAGGAAGAUCCACCUUGUAUUGAUGUGGUUUUUUUGCACACCGAGGGCUUUAAGUGCAUUUUCUCCUUGAACUUCCGGAGCAAAGUCCACCAAAUCCAGCUGUGGAUACAACAUCUGUCAGGCCGCAGGGCCAGUCCCUGCCAAGAGCGCAUCUCCGCAGCCCUCGCCCUAUGGUGAUGUCACUGUUCUGUGUCUCCACGGCAACCACAGGCUGGGAAGAUGGAGAAGAGGAGAGCCGAGUAACCGAGAGAGAGCCAAUGAGAUGGGCCAGCUGCACCGGAUGAUCCGUGGGGCCAUGGGGCGGGGCUGGGGGGAGAGCAGGGGGCCUACUCAGCAUCUUGGGCUGCUUCCUGGACCCUCCCCGCCAUCUGGACGCCUCCGAUAGGGGAUGUGCCACUGGCACGGGGAGAAAUGCCGGAGGUAGAGGCCAAAGAAGCUGAGCUGGAGCCUCCACUGACCCAGGGACAUAGAGACCCCCCCAUAACCUCUUCGGGGCCUAAUCUGUGCAUGUUGACUGCCCCACUCCACCCCCAGGACCUGCUGCUGGAAUUUUUUUUUUUUUUUUUUAUGGUAAUGGUGGUGCAGCCCUCUGCCACGGAAUCAAGUCCUUAACCCUUCUCUCCACACCCUCCAUAGCUUCCCCUGGUGCAUGAUGUAUUCAGAAGCGGCAUCUUUGGAAAGAAGCCUGGUUCUAAAUCCCAAGCCUGCAACUUACUAGUCAAGAGACUAGGAGCCAGUCCCUUCCCCUUCUGAGUCUCCUUUCCUCCCAAAUGGAGGAAGGGCCAUCUACUCCCAGGGUUGACAGGAGGAUUAAAAGAGACAACAUAUGGAAGCCUAACACACAGAAUACUCAAUGAGUGGUGAUUACGUUCUCCCUUCUGGGUCUCCCCGGAGCAGUUUUCCCAGAGACGCACGUGAAUGAGCCAAGGCCCUUUGAGACAUUGAACCAAUAGCAAAGGACCAGGUGUGUCUGUCUCCUCACUGGGGCCAUUAAGUGCCUUCAGAUACUGCAGACAAGUUUUCCACAUCUCUCCCAGUCUCCGUGAGUACCUCCUGCGCCCAGACGCUGUGCUGGGCUCAGCAGGUUCCAGGGGAGACAGAAGAGCCACAGCCCCCAUCCUCCCUGAGCUCACUAUGUAGGGGGAUUGCAGCGCGGUGGCUGGAAUGCCGUGUUCUUUCUGCCACAAGGAAAUCGCUUCCUCGUUCCCCAAGAGUUCUAGAUACUGUGGGUCUGAGAGAACAAAUGAUGGCAAGAGGUCGGGAUUUACUCAACACCAGUUGCUUCUGAGAAACUGCUGCCUGUGGCACAUGCUCCCUGGAAGGAGAACAAUGGUUCUCUCUGCCCAGGGAGGAGAGGGGGUAGCUCAGGGUGGUGGGGCGGUCACCUCGGCUUUCCCAGAAGCCAGCUGUCCUCCCUGUUGGCAGAAUAAAGCCCAAACUCUUCCGCCUU